Molecule: long non-coding RNA, 213 nt
Filed under: Malus domestica (apple)
Lineage: Eukaryota; Viridiplantae; Streptophyta; Magnoliopsida; Rosales; Rosaceae
Description: long non-coding RNA (MDOM_LNC014039)
Source: RNAcentral
GCCUUUUAAUUGUUAAUUGCAUGCUAUAUGAUGUUGCUCAAAUGAACAUGUUUUUCAAAAUAAAUCCUUCAAGUGGUAUCAAGAGCCUAGGUCUAGUAGUUGGUGAAUCCUUUUGGGUUUUGUAGUUCAUAAGUUUAUGAUUUAAAAGUUGUAAUUGUUACAAGCUUUAUUCUUGCUUCUUUGAAUGUAAAUUUUGUUUGAAAAAUUUGCCAU